This 253-nucleotide ribosomal RNA is filed under the name uncultured bacterium. Its description in RNAcentral is "partial 16S ribosomal RNA". It matches the Rfam family "Bacterial small subunit ribosomal RNA", at positions 524 to 776 of the family's 1533-position model. The record is from RNAcentral.
UACGUAGGGUGCGAGCGUUAAUCGGAAUUACUGGGCGUAAAGCGUGCGUAGGCGGUCUGUUAAGACAGGUGUGAAAUCCCCGGGCUUAACCUGGGAAUGGCGCUUGUUACUGGCAGACUAGAGUACGUCAGAGGGGGGUGGAAUUCCACGUGUAGCAGUGAAAUGCGUAGAGAUGUGGAGGAACACCGAUGGCGAAGGCAGCCCCCUGGGAUGAUACUGACGCUCAGGCACGAAAGCGUGGGGAGCAAACAGG